Molecule: unclassified non-coding RNA, 213 nt
Filed under: Hevea brasiliensis (rubber tree)
Lineage: Eukaryota; Viridiplantae; Streptophyta; Magnoliopsida; Malpighiales; Euphorbiaceae
Source: RNAcentral
AGCAUCAGAUAACAAUUUCACUUGGGUAGCUUCAGGCAAUUUUAUUGUAACUUGAAGAAGCUUCUCUUCUUCAGCUUUCUGAAUAAGUAGCCACUGUGAAUCUUUAAACUCGGAUAUCGGCUUGUUGCGCAGCCAUUUUACACUUGAAAGUUGAUGAUUAGAAUCUAUUGUCGUAUUCCCUUCGGGAGUAGGGCUGGUUGAGACAACAGCUUU